RNAcentral lists this signal recognition particle RNA (99 nucleotides) under Alphaproteobacteria bacterium. RNAcentral's name for it is "signal recognition particle sRNA small type". It matches the Rfam family "Bacterial small signal recognition particle RNA". Rfam says of the family: The signal recognition particle (SRP) is a universally conserved ribonucleoprotein involved in the co-translational targeting of proteins to membranes. Archaeal SRP consists of a 7S RNA and homologues of the eukaryotic SRP19 and SRP54 proteins. Lineage: Bacteria; Pseudomonadati; Pseudomonadota; Alphaproteobacteria. The record is from RNAcentral.
GGAGGUUGGCUGGUGGACGGGCCACUUCGCCAACCCGGUCAGGUCCGGAAGGAAGCAGCCGUAACGAUGUUGGUCCGGGUCGUCUGUCCAAUCUCCUGC